Non-coding RNA from Zootermopsis nevadensis, 2087 nucleotides. NCBI's taxonomy places the organism in Eukaryota, Metazoa, Arthropoda, Insecta, Blattodea, Termopsidae. The record is from RefSeq and is a predicted model, not a curated record.
GUGAUCUAUUUCGUUCGGGUUAUCUAGCCACAAGUGUGUACGCAUGUCUCAUCUCAUACGUGCUUUAUGACCUGUCAAUCUUAUGCCACUUGAUGUGAUUUUCUUAAUACGUAAUAUAGUUUCUUCGUCUGUCAUGUAGUAAUAUGUUACAUUAUGAACGUAGGUUUCACAAGUUAUGUUUUCAAUUUCUCCGUUUGUAUUUGGUCCAGAUUUUUGCUUUAACACGUGUUCUCAGACAUUCGUCAUGUUCACCCUCCCAAUGCCUUGUGCAUUCAGCAUCAUCGCUUCUUUUUUUGCGAACCGUAAUUGCUCAGUACCUUAACAGAAGUCGAUUCGCUACCCAUUUUGUCGGUUUACUGACUCCUUUUUUCAGUCCGUGCGCUUGGGUUUGUGGCCCUAACCAACCACAAGUACGUGUAGCAACCUGCUCACGAGCUGCUUUCCCUAUUCGUAACUCUUAUUUCCACGAUUUUCCCUUUUAGCCUGCAUUUCUCGCUGUCAACUCUUUUCAGUUUCUGGAACUCUGCCAUGCAUUUGUAAGGAAUAUUUUCAAAGGUUCUUCCCAUUUGAGUCUUGCAUUCUGGUCGAAUUAUAAUGGAAUGCUGUUCUUGUGCAUAGGAACAAAACUUCCUGUUUCUUAAAUGUCUGGCUGAGUGACUCGGUUUUCGAAGAAGUUGGUCGACCUGUUAUAGACAAUAAUGCAGGUACGUUGUAGGGGUAAGGGCGAAAUCGUCAUGAUCCGCGGAAGUCGGAGCAGGUAGAAAGCUUUGUACACCAACAUUGGCGAGGCAGUGCAGAGCGGGAGUCAACCUGUAGGAGCCGAGGUACGUGCCUCUAGAGACAUUUGACGAACAAAGGUUCUCUCGGCCGUGAAAAUGUCGAUUGAGGUCUCCUGUGUUCGUACCAACGUUUCGGAGUAUAGUAUCCAUCUCCUAACAAGAAAAUGGAAACGACAUGUCCCUUCAAGACGCCGGUAUCCACCUGAAAGAUAAGGGGGCAUCACAACGGGCAUAAACUUGGGCAGUUUUUAAAUUCCGACAAAAUGAGUACUGCUUCCUCAGCAGGAGAUGAAUUAGCAGACCAUUUGAGCGGCUGUUACCGGCUUAAGGACUGUAUUCUGUGGAGUCGGCCAGAAGCCAAGGGUAGUCCAUUCACUUUCGGAGUGGAGCUGCAGAAAUUGUUGCCUUCCUUACCACACCUCGUCAAUUACUCACCUUUAUCGUCUUUGACGUGGUUUGCAUAAUCGCCCCUUUUCAAGGAUUACACCAUUUGGCCUGUUCGGUUUGACGCCAUCUCGCCAGUGUUCUUAUGUGUGUAUAAUAAAUUAGUAGUUGACUAAAUGGCGGUUACUUUCUGCGUGUAAUUUAAGAUGAUAGGCCCAGAUGUACACGAAUGUUGUAAUAAAGAAUUUAUGCACGUCCAUGGUGUGUACCGUAUUGUGUUUUAGCCAGAAACUAUGGUUAAAGUAGCUACGUGUUUCGGUACCAGAAGUCGAAGUGGUUGUACCGCCGAGGCUUCUCAACAAGAAAUACGCAUGAUCCGCCUCAUUUGGUCGUUAUUGAUUGUGGGUAUUCCAUCCAGGAGACUGUACGCGUCUGAGUGGCGUUUGUGCCGGACUCAGACCGUGAGACCAGAGUAUGAACUGUCCAGAAACACUUAGACCGCGAGCAAGACACAAGAUCUUCAGACUAGACCGCGUAGGUGCUUCGCGGUCUGGUCUGAAGAUCGUCUCGCACUUCGGUCGUUGUCUGCUGCUCUUUCAUGACGACAUCUAAAGUUUUCCCGCUGAUACACACCAAGUAUCAUUCGAGAUUCUCCCCCAACAGAACUGCUAGGAAAUUUACCUUAAGUUAUCAUUAGUAAAAUAUAUCCUGAUCUGGUAUGUUAUACAGUGUUCUUCACAGAAGACCGUGGUCAACAUUUUGAGUAGUUAUAAACUUAUCUCACAGAUGGUAACAGUUUAUUCAUAUGAUCAGUUCUCUUGUUCACUGUACCUUGCGCACACCUUGAAACCACGAUAGGUGUUGAAAACACGAACACUGCUUUAUCAACAUUUUGUACUAUAAAUUACGUCCCAAAUCUUCACU